CAUAUCAUUAUGGAUAAAUGAGGAAGGAGAAAAACUGAAUCUCUUUUCAUUGGUAAAUGCAAGUAGAUGAAACUAUAAUAGCAACAGAAAUAGAUGAUGAUGUGAUGAUGACGUGAUGAUGACCUAGAUGUAGACAGUGAAUAGAAGGUAUAACAUAAUUGAUAUCUAUUUUUACUUUCAGUUACUGAAUAUAUAUCUAUUUUUACUUUAUGUUACUAAAUAUGUAUUACUACAUGUGAUUUAUUUAAUGUGAAUUUAUACAAGAUGAGAUGAUGAGGACGUAGAUCUUCAUCACGGGGUCGAGGAGACCAUGGUAGGGGUAGUGUCCACACAAGUGAAUCACAAAAUAUCAAUCAAUAUUCGGUACAACACACUGCUUUGAUUCCUAGACCAAACCAGGGUGAGAGAUCCACACAGGAUACUGCAUCAUCCACUCCUGCUUCAGUGCACAUAUCUGCUAUUGCCUCAACUCCCAUUUAUGUAUGGCACCUAUUGCAUUGACAGUUGUAUAUGCAUCUGCUUCUGGUAGUUGUGGACCUACAGGAUACAAACCACAUAUUUCCCUAGCAAACUCAAUGUGAAUAAAAUUUCAUGCAGCCUUCUGAUCCGAUUGCUCGCGGAUUACCUUGAUCUUUAAGAAAAAGUUAGUAACAAAUGGUUUUUGUUGGAAAAAUAUACCAAAAGAGGUUAAAGAAUUCUAUUGGUAAGAAUUUAAGAAACACUUCUUAUGGGAGGAUGCAAUAGAGCAGCUUAUGAAGAUAGUUUGGAGGAAGAAAAUCGUUGAGCGCUACCAUAGCCUUAUGUGUAGCAUAAGGAAUGGAAAGGAGAAGAGGUUAUAAUUGUCAGAAUGAGUAAUGGAUGCAUGGCAAUCCGCUUGGAGUGUUGUUGAGUAUCACAACAAAUGCAAAAAAUUUUCAAAUAACAAAAAGAGUGAAACAGGUGGGCAAGGUGCUGGCCCAUCAAGACAUUGUGGGGGAUUCAUAUCUCGGUAUAGGCAUCAAUAACAGAUGCACGAAAGGCUAAGCGGAGAUUCUCUAUCUCAUGAGUUAUUUGAGGCUACUCAUAA
Manihot esculenta (cassava) is the source of this 1066-nucleotide long non-coding RNA. RefSeq lists it as uncharacterized. The transcript is spliced from 4 exons. The record is from RefSeq and is a predicted model, not a curated record. Lineage: Eukaryota; Viridiplantae; Streptophyta; Magnoliopsida; Malpighiales; Euphorbiaceae.